GUGGGAUAAGAUCAUAAGAAGUGUGCUAGUAAUUAGUAGAAUUCUAGAAUUUUAUUUUAUUUUAUUUGCAUCACUGCAUUAGACAUCACUUCAUUGUGGAAGUAAAAGAUCCAUUUACUUGACCAAAGAAAGGCUCCAUUUUUCAUAUCUAUUCCUUCUCUCCAUUUUCCAAUUCAAUUCUCUACAGGAAAAUAAAGAAAAUGUCACUUGUUGAAAUGGAAAAAGUGUUUGAUGAUAAGAUCAUAAGAAGUGAGCUAGUAAUUAGUAGAAUUGUAGAAAAUUUUUUUUUAAUUUAUUUUCAAGUCUAGAAUUUUUAUUUCAUUAUCACAUUAGACAUCACUUCAGUGUGGAAGAUAAAAGGUCCAUUUACUUGAAGAAAAUUAGGCUUCAUUUUUUAUCUAUAUUUCUUCUCUCCAUUUUCCAAUUCAAUUCUCUACAGGAAAAUAAAGAAAAUGUCACUUGUUGAAAUGGAAAAAGUGUUUGAUGAUAAGAUCAUAAGAAGUGAGCUAGUAAUUAGUAGAAUUGUAGAAAAUUUUUUUUUAAUUUAUUUUCAAGUCUAGAAUUUUUAUUUCAUUAUCACAUUAGACAUCACUUCAGUGUGGAAGAUAAAAGGUCCAUUUACUUGAAGAAAAUUAGGCUUCAUUUUUUAUCUAUAUUUCUUCUCUCCAUUUU
This 672-nucleotide unclassified non-coding RNA is filed under the name Hevea brasiliensis (rubber tree). The record is from RNAcentral. Lineage: Eukaryota; Viridiplantae; Streptophyta; Magnoliopsida; Malpighiales; Euphorbiaceae.